AGUAUUCAUACCCCUUCAUGUUUUUCACAUUUUGUUAUGUUGCUGCCUUAUGUUAAACUGCCUUAAAUUAAUUUUUUUUUUCCUCAUUAAUCUACACUCCAUACACCAUAAUGACAAAGCAAAAAUAGAAUUGUCACAACUUCGUAAAUGUGACCCUGGACCACAAAACCUUUAGUAGCACGGGUAUAUUUGUAGCAAUAGCCAAAAAUACAUUGUAUGGGUCAAAAUUGUCGAUUUUUUAUUUUAUAGCAAAAAUCAUUAGGGUAUUAAGUAAAGAUCAUGUUGCAUGAAGAUAUUUUGUUAAUUUCCCACCGUAAAUAUCUCAAAACUUAAUUUUUUAUUAGUUAUAUGCAUUGCUAAGAACUUCAUUUGGACAACUUUAAAGGCGAUUUUCUCAGUAUUUUGAUUUUUUUGCGCCCUCAGAUUUCAGAUUUUCAAAUAGUUGCAUCUUGGCCAAAUAUUGUCCUAUCCUAACAAACCACACAUCAAUGGAAAGCUUAUUUAUUCAGAUUUCAGAAUUUGUAUAUGACUGGUUUUGUGGUACAGGGUCACGGAUUUAUUACAAAUAAUAAAUACUGAAAUAAGUACAAACUUAACUCAGUACUUAGUAGAAGCACCUUUAAAAUAAAAUGUAUACAAACCUUUAUUUCGCUGAAGAAAAAUGACCCAGCGUUGUGCCGUCACACCGACAGGGGCCGCUCCCACGAUAGUUGAUUGACAUGAGUGCCUUACCUCAGAUCAGCUGUAACAGUCCGACCUCCAUUGUUUCAAUGAUGGAGCAGGGAUGUAAGUUAGACAGGAAUAUCUCAGAUUGAGGUGUUGUGUUGCUGGAUGUAAUAAUGAACACAGUGGUCGUCAUUUACUCCUGACAUCUGAGCCGCUGGAGAUGCAUUGUAUUACAUUUGUUUGUGAAGGGAAUGCGCCUCCUGAUCUACAUAUAUCUGUCUAUGUUCGCACAAAUCAUCCGUGAUCCUGCUUCACUUACAGCAGAAAUUUUUUCCUUAAUCAUCUUGUUUUUUCGAUCAUGAGAGGAGAUGUUUCACGUGUUAUGAGGAGGAUUGCUCACAAACAGUGAGAUGUGAAAGGGAUGACUACUGCUUCACUGCGAAUGGAAAUCAGUAUAAAUCACAGAAUGUAAAAGGAUGUGCCUCUGGACACAUCUGUGAUGAUCCACUAAAAUGGAAAGAACUUGGUGAAAACAUCACAUGUUGUUG
Long non-coding RNA from Labeo rohita (rohu), 1214 nucleotides. RefSeq lists it as uncharacterized. The record is from RefSeq and is a predicted model, not a curated record. The transcript has 3 exons. NCBI's taxonomy places the organism in Eukaryota, Metazoa, Chordata, Actinopteri, Cypriniformes, Cyprinidae.